This 738-nucleotide ribosomal RNA is filed under the name Triticum aestivum (bread wheat). Its description in RNAcentral is "partial small subunit ribosomal RNA". Lineage: Eukaryota; Viridiplantae; Streptophyta; Magnoliopsida; Poales; Poaceae. The record is from RNAcentral.
AUGGACGUUAAGACGACUUUCCUCAAUGGAGAGUUGAAGGAGGAAAUUUACAUGGAUCAGCCAGAUGGUUUUGUAGUACCUGGUCAGGAAGGAAAGGUGUGCAAGUUAUUAAAGUCUUUAUAUGGCCUUAAACAAGCUCCUAAGGUGUGGCAUGAGAAGUUCGAAAGAACGUUAACUGCUGCCGGCUUUGUAGUAAAUGAUGGUGACAAGUGUGUGUACUAUCGCCAUGGUGGGGGCGAAGGAGUUAUUCUUUGUCUGUAUGUCGACGACAUAUUGAUCUUUGGAACCAAACUUGAUUUAAUCAAGGAGGUUAAGGAUUUCUUAUCUCGCUGUUUUGAGGUGAAGGAUCUAGGAGUAGCUGAUGUUAUCUUAAACAUCAAGCUGUUGAGAGAUGAGAAUGGUGGGAUCACACUGCUUCAGUCUCACUAUGUGGAAAAGGUCUUGAGUCGUUUUGGGUAUAGCGACUGCACGCCUUCUCCAACUCCAUAUGAUGCUAGUGUGUUGCUUCGAAAGAAUCGACGGAUUGCUAGAGAUCAACUGAGGUAUUCUCAGAUUAUUGGCUCGCUUAUGUAUUUGGCGGGUGCCACGAGGCCUGACAUCUCGUUUGCUAUGAGCAAGCUGAGUUGGUUUGUGUCAAAACCGGGAGAUGAUCAUUGGCAUGCGCUUGAGAGAGUUAUGCGCUAUUUGAAAGGCACCGCGAGCUAUGGGAUUCACUACACCGGGUAUCCAAGGUUCUAA